Mustela erminea (ermine) is the source of this 145-nucleotide long non-coding RNA. RefSeq lists it as uncharacterized. The transcript is spliced from 3 exons. The record is from RefSeq and is a predicted model, not a curated record. Lineage: Eukaryota; Metazoa; Chordata; Mammalia; Carnivora; Mustelidae.
ACUAGAUACUCAGGAGUGGGGGGUGAGGAAAAAGGGAGGCUUCAAAAAAACUUUCAUAUGCUAAAGAGGACUUACAAGAUACCGGAGGCCUUGAGGCCUUGUCAUUGUCAAGUUUUUUUUUCCCUCUAGCAAGGUAUUAACAUUA